AUUGAACGCUGGCGGCAGGCCUAACACAUGCAAGUCGAGCGGAUGAAGGGAGCUUGCUCCUGGAUUCGGCGGCGGACGGGUGAGUAAUGCCUAGGAAUCUGCCUGGUAGCGGGGGAUAACGUCCGGAAACGGGCGCUAAUACCGCAUACGUCCUGAGGGAGAAAGUGGGGGAUCUUCGGACCUCACGCUAUCAGAUGAGCCUAGGUCGGAUUAGCUAGUUGGUGGGGUAAAGGCCUACCAAGGCGACGAUCCGUAACUGGUCUGAGAGGAUGAUCAGUCACACUGGAACUGAGACACGGUCCAGACUCCUACGGGAGGCAGCAGUGGGGAAUAUUGGACAAUGGGCGAAAGCCUGAUCCAGCCAUGCCGCGUGUGUGAAGAAGGUCUUCGGAUUGUAAAGCACUUUAAGUUGGGAGGAAGGGCAGUAAGUUAAUACCUUGCUGUUUUGACGUUACCAGCAGAAUAAGCACCGGCUAACUUCGUG
This 484-nucleotide ribosomal RNA is filed under the name uncultured bacterium. Its description in RNAcentral is "partial 16S ribosomal RNA". It matches the Rfam family "Bacterial small subunit ribosomal RNA", at positions 30 to 507 of the family's 1533-position model. The record is from RNAcentral.